This 253-nucleotide ribosomal RNA is filed under the name uncultured bacterium. Its description in RNAcentral is "partial 16S ribosomal RNA". It matches the Rfam family "Bacterial small subunit ribosomal RNA", at positions 524 to 776 of the family's 1533-position model. The record is from RNAcentral.
UACAGAGGGUGCGAGCGUUGUCCGGAAUCACUGGGCGUAAAGGGCGCGUAGGUGGCUGGGUAAGCGUGUGGUGAAAGUCCGGGGCUCAACCCCGGAUCUGCCGUGCGAACUGCUUAGCUUGAGCAAUGUAGAGGCGGGUGGAAUUUCGGGUGUAGCGGUGGAAUGCGUAGAUAUCCGAAAGAACACCGGUGGCGAAGGCGGCCCGCUGGGCAUUUGCUGACACUGAGGCGCGACAGCGUGGGGAGCAAACAGG